UACGUAGGUGGUUUAUUAAGUCAGAUGUGAAAGCCCCGGGCUUAACCUGGGAACUGCAUUUGAUACUGGUAAACUAGAGUAUGGUAGAGGGGGGUAGAAUUUCUAGUGUAGCGGUGAAAUGCGUAGAUAUUAGAAGGAAUACCAGUGGCGAAGGCGGCCCCCUGGACCAAUACUGACACUGAGGUACGAAAGCGUGGGUAGCGAACAGGAUUAGAUACCCUGGUAGUCC
Molecule: ribosomal RNA, 229 nt
Filed under: uncultured bacterium
Lineage: Bacteria
Description: partial 16S ribosomal RNA
Rfam family: Bacterial small subunit ribosomal RNA
Source: RNAcentral